ACUUUCCAAACAGGACCCACACGUUUGCUUGUUUGACAUGUUAAAGAAGCGUACACGCUGUUUUUGGGUCUGUAGCUCAGUUGGUUAGAGCGCACCCCUGAUAAGGGUGAGGUCGGCCGUUCAAAUCGGCCCAGACCCACCAGAACAUCGCCGCUGCACUGAUAUGCUCUAUCGGUAGGGUGGCGAUGAUGACUGGAAGAGCGGUAAAGAUACUGCUUAACGGUACUGUUUGGUGCUAUUUGACGGUAUUAAAGGGGCCGUAGCUCAGCUGGGAGAGCGCCUGCCUUGCACGCAGGAGGUCAGGAGUUCGAUCCUCCUCGGCUCCACCAAUAUCGACAGAAGUGAUAAUCAAGCCGUUCUGAUUUGACGGUUUGCUUCUGACUUUUGUCAGUGCCUGAUCCUUGCGAUCGGUAUGCUCUUUAACAAUCUGGGAAAUGAGAAGUCCAAGUAUUCCAAUGGAAUACAAGCGUUAGAGACUUAUAUCUGACACUUGUGUCUAUUAGGUGAAUCGUUGGUGUUACAGCCGUAUGGCUUGAGCAGUUGAUGAGAGUUGACUGUUUUGGGUUAUAUGGUCAAGUGACGAAGCGACACG
Molecule: transfer RNA, 592 nt
Filed under: Alloalcanivorax balearicus
Lineage: Bacteria; Pseudomonadati; Pseudomonadota; Gammaproteobacteria; Oceanospirillales; Alcanivoracaceae
Description: Alcanivorax balearicus partial contains 16S-23S ribosomal RNA large intergenic spacer and 23S ribosomal RNA
Rfam family: tRNA (bases 66-139)
Source: RNAcentral